This 467-nucleotide ribosomal RNA is filed under the name uncultured bacterium. Its description in RNAcentral is "partial 16S ribosomal RNA". It matches the Rfam family "Bacterial small subunit ribosomal RNA", at positions 28 to 506 of the family's 1533-position model. The record is from RNAcentral.
GACGAACGCUGGCGGCGUGCUUAACACAUGCAAGUCGAACGGAAAGGCCCUGCUUUUGUGGGGUGCUCGAGUGGCGAACGGGUGAGUAACACGUGAGUAACCUGCCCUUGACUUUGGGAUAACUUCAGGAAACUGGGGCUAAUACCGGAUAGGAGCUCCUGCUGCAUGGUGGGGGUUGGAAAGUUUCGGCGGUUGGGGAUGGACUCGCGGCUUAUCAGCUUGUUGGUGGGGUAGUGGCUUACCAAGGCUUUGACGGGUAGCCGGCCUGAGAGGGUGACCGGCCACAUUGGGACUGAGAUACGGCCCAGACUCCUACGGGAGGCAGCAGUGGGGAAUAUUGCACAAUGGGCGGAAGCCUGAUGCAGCAACGCCGCGUGCGGGAGGACGGCCUUCGGGUUGGAAACCGCUUUCGCCUGUGACGAAGCGUGAGUGACGGUAAUGGGGAAAGAAGCACCGGCUAACUACGU